Molecule: ribosomal RNA, 492 nt
Filed under: uncultured bacterium
Lineage: Bacteria
Description: partial 16S ribosomal RNA
Rfam family: Bacterial small subunit ribosomal RNA
Source: RNAcentral
AGUGAACGCUGGCGGUAGGCCUAACACAUGCAAGUCGAACGGCAGCACAGUAAGAGCUUGCUCUUACGGGUGGCGAGUGGCGGACGGGUGAGGAAUACAUCGGAAUCUACUUUUUCGUGGGGGAUAACGUAGGGAAACUUACGCUAAUACCGCAUACGACCUACGGGUGAAAGCAGGGGAUCUUCGGACCUUGCGCGAUUGAAUGAGCCGAUGUCGGAUUAGCUAGUUGGCGGGGUAAAGGCCCACCAAGGCGACGAUCCGUAGCUGGUCUGAGAGGAUGAUCAGCCACACUGGAACAGAGACACGGUCCAGACUCCUACGGGAGGCAGCAGUGGGGAAUAUUGGACAAUGGGCGCAAGCCUGAUCCAGCCAUACCGCGUGGGUGAAGAAGGCCUUCGGGUUGUAAAGCCCUUUUGUUGGGAAAGAAAAGCAGUAGGUUAAUACCCCGCUGUUCUGACGGUACCCAAAGAAUAAGCACCGGCUAACUUCGUG